RNAcentral lists this ribosomal RNA (610 nucleotides) under Trichoderma harzianum. RNAcentral describes it as "eukaryotic LSU rRNA". The stretch from base 238 to 391 matches the Rfam family "5.8S ribosomal RNA". Lineage: Eukaryota; Fungi; Ascomycota; Sordariomycetes; Hypocreales; Hypocreaceae. The record is from RNAcentral.
AGUAGAUCUCGUUGGUGACCAGCGGAGGGUCAUUACCGAGUUUACAACUCCCAAACCCAAUGUGAACGUUACCAAACUGUUGCCUCGGCGGGAUCUCUGCCCCGGGUGCGUCGCAGCCCCGGACCAAGGCGCCCGCCGGAGGACCAACCAAAACUCUUAUUGUAUACCCCCUCGCGGGUUUUUUUUAUAAUCUGAGCCUUCUCGGCGCCUCUCGUAGGCGUUUCGAAAAUGAAUCAAAACUUUCAACAACGGAUCUCUUGGUUCUGGCAUCGAUGAAGAACGCAGCGAAAUGCGAUAAGUAAUGUGAAUUGCAGAAUUCAGUGAAUCAUCGAAUCUUUGAACGCACAUUGCGCCCGCCAGUAUUCUGGCGGGCAUGCCUGUCCGAGCGUCAUUUCAACCCUCGAACCCCUCCGGGGGGUCGGCGUUGGGGAUCGGCCCUGCCUUGGCGGUGGCCGUCUCCGAAAUACAGUGGCGGUCUCGCCGCAGCCUCUCCUGCGCAGUAGUUUGCACACUCGCAUCGGGAGCGCGGCGCGUCCACAGCCGUUAAACACCCAACUUCUGAAAUGUUGACCUCGGAUCAGGUAGGAAUACCCGCUGAACUUAAGCAACA